This 231-nucleotide ribosomal RNA is filed under the name uncultured bacterium. RNAcentral describes it as "partial 16S ribosomal RNA". It matches the Rfam family "Bacterial small subunit ribosomal RNA", at positions 15 to 235 of the family's 1533-position model. The record is from RNAcentral.
GAUCCUGGCUCAGGAUGAACGCUAGUUACAGGCUUAAUACAUGCAAGUCGAGGGGCAGCAUGGUCUUAGCUUGCUAAGGCUGAUGGCGACCGGCGCACGGGUGAGUAACACGUAUCCAACCUGCCGUCUACUCUUGGCCAGCCUUCUGAAAGGAAGAUUAAUCCAGGAUGGGAUCAUGAGUUCACAUGUCCGCAUGAUUAAAGGUAUUUUCCGGUAGACGAUGGGGAUGCG